GAUGAACGCUGGCGGCGUGCCUAAUACAUGCAAGUCGAGCGAAAAGACGAGGAGCUUGCUCCUCUGACGUUAGCGGCGGACGGGUGAGUAACGCGUGGAUACCCUACCUAUCAGACUGGGAUCACUUCGGGAAACCGGAGCUAAUACCGGAUAAUAUCUUGAACCGCAUGGGUGGAUGGUGAAAGACGGUUUUGCUGUCACGUAUAGAUGGAUCCGCGCUGGAUUAGAUAGUUGGUAAGGUCAAGGCUUACCAAGGCAACGAUGCGUAGCCGACCUGUGAGGGUGAUAGGCCACACUGGAACGGAGACACGGUCCAGAGUCCUACGGUAGGCAGCAGUAGGGAAUCUUCCGCAAUGGGCGAAAGCCUGACGGAACAACGCCGCGUGAGAGAUGAAGGUGUUCGGAUCGUAAAACUCUGUUAUGAGUGAAGAACAAAUGUGUAAGUAACUAUGCACGUCUUGACGGUACUUAAUCAGAAAGCCCCGGCUAACUACGUG
This 497-nucleotide ribosomal RNA is filed under the name uncultured bacterium. Its description in RNAcentral is "partial 16S ribosomal RNA". It matches the Rfam family "Bacterial small subunit ribosomal RNA", at positions 28 to 507 of the family's 1533-position model. The record is from RNAcentral.